UACGUAGGUGACAAGCGUUGUUCGGAUUUAUUGGGCGUAAAGGGCAUGUAGGUGGUUGACUAAGUGUGAAUUGAAAUACCGAAGCUUAACUUCGCGUUUGGUUUGCAAACUGGUUAACUAGAGUACAGAAGGGGAAACUGGAAUUCCGCGUGUAGGGGUGAAAUCUGUAGAUAUGCGGAAGAAUACUUGUGGCGAAGGCGAGUUUCUGGUCUGUAACUGACGCUGAAAUGCGAAAGUGUGGGGAG
RNAcentral lists this ribosomal RNA (245 nucleotides) under uncultured bacterium. RNAcentral's name for it is "partial 16S ribosomal RNA". It matches the Rfam family "Bacterial small subunit ribosomal RNA", at positions 524 to 768 of the family's 1533-position model. The record is from RNAcentral.